CGCGAGAAGGCCCCACCACCUACCGACAGCCUCUGCUUGGUCUUCAAAUGCCUCAUCUUCUUUUACUGUACAUUGCAUUCUUAUCUUCACUUUUGCUUUUCAAUUUCACACGUCUCCUCUGCCUUUGAACGACACCCCCUUCCUCACUCUUCUCUUUCAUUUUCCUGCGUUUCCUUUUGAUUCUUUUGGGUUCGGUCGAUGAAGCCUGCACGCUUCCCUUAUCACCACCGACAGCCUUCUGCCCCAUUUCCCCACCGAUUCCUCUCUGCCACGUCCGAGUUUCCUCCAAGCUCGGUCGACCGAAGAAGCGCCCCCCAGCCGUGUUGACUCCCCUGCCAGCGAAGCUCACCUUCGUUUGUCUCCAUCCUCUGAGCAGCCCCGCACCUUCGGUCCCUCAUCUCUGCCUCCACCGAACACCUCUCAUCUCCUGCCAUUGUUCGCGCCUGCCCACCUCACGCCCACGCGUCCACAGCUUCUACCUUUGAAGUCACCGUUGCCGAUUUGUUGACCCCGAGUCUCCUCGGCCAACCGUUCGCGUGAGACUUCCAUGGAGCAGCUCCCAUCUUCACUCGUGGAUCAGCCCUGCAAUCCUUUCCGCUAGUUUGUUAAUCGUGGAUCUCCGCUCGUCCAGCGUCAAGAGACCGAAUCAGCCGCGUCUUCUCUCUCUAUCGUCCGAGGCAGUCCCUGUCCGUGUCUUCGAGCAGCCGUCUUCAGCACGUCCAUUUCAGCCCAUAAGAAGUCAGCCCAAUUCAGCAGCUCCAUUCAAGCCCACGAGCCCAAAUGAGUUCAGUCCAUCAAAAGCCCAGCGAAAUUUUGAGGCCCAAGCCCGUGAAGUCAGGCCCACCGAAUCAGUGGACUCAGCCCAGCUCGAGCAGCGAGCUUGUAGGCCGAUUUCGGCCCCGAUUUGACCCCGGUUGGCGGACCCGCUUCGGAUGGGAUUGACCCUUGUCGCCUGCUCGUCGAUUUGGUCCGAUUGGCUCGUUAAUCAAGUGAGUUUUACUCACUAAUGCUUUAUUAGUUUGCUAAAUAUGCUUAGGGGUUGGUUAGAUUUAAUUAAACGCAAUUAGGUGGUUAGAUUAGUUUAGAUCAAUUAAAUUAGAGACUUAAUGAUGCAUGUUAGGUGGUUAGAAAUAGACAUUAGCAAGUAGGCAUGCCAUGUUAUUUAUGGAACGAGUCCCGGUAAUUUUCCGGGCUCGUCUCGGCGUCCAAUCAGGCAAUACGGGCCUAAAUUGGAUUUUUAGUAUUUAUUUAUUUAUUUUUCGAAAUUAAUUAUUUAUUUAUUUAUUUUUCCGGAAAUUCAACCGGGAUGGCCGGUGACCGGAAUUUCGUACUGAUUGUCGUGGUGCAGUCCGUUUAUUUAAUUGAGCUUCAAUUUAUAUGGAAUUGAUUUAAAUUGUGAAAUUUGAGGAUUUGUCCUAAAUUGAAUGAAAUCGAAUAAUUGAUUGGUUGAUGGCCGAGUAUUGUUAUUUAGCAUCGAUAAUGCUGUAAUGAUCUGUAAAGCAGAGGGAACUGUGAAAGUGAAUUGGGGAAAUUCUCGGCUGAAACCAAUCAGGAACGAUGUAAUGAGACAUACGUGGUUCGGUGAUUAAAAGAUAUCACUGGUGAAAACGGCGCCUUAAAGAACGCACGAAUGCUGUCUAUUACAUGCAGCAGUAUGGACAUACGUGGUUCGGUGAUUAAAGGAUAUCACUGGUGAAAACGGCGCCUUAAAGAACGCACGAGUGUUGUCUAUUACAUGCAGCAGUAUGGACAUACGUGGUUCGGUGAUGGAGGAUAUCACUGGUGAAAACGGCGCCUUAAAGAACGCACGAGUGCUGUCCAUUAUACACGUCACCUUGGCGAAAAAGACGCCCGAGAGCAUUAAUGAGGCUCUGUGACUAAGUGUACUGCUGGAGAUUAUCGUGAUCGGUAAUUGGUACGUCACCUUGGCGAAAAAGACGCCCGAGAGCAUUCAUCUGGCUCUGUGACUGAGUACCCGAAUGGAGAUUAUAAAGUAUGGUGUUGAUGUGACCGAGAGGUGGUCCGAAUGACAUGUAAUCGACUAGGUCGAUUGAUCAUUGUUUUGAUCUGAUGUUGUGAAUUGGUUGAUUGAAUGGGAAUGGCCGUGAGUGGUCUUGUUGGCAUGUGAUCGACUAGAUCGAUUUGAUCAAUACUUCGAUCUGUGAUGUGAUUGCUUGGGUGCCUAUUGAAUUGUGCUAAUAUGCAGGUGAAAUCUGAGGCCAAGGUAAGUCCUCUGACUCACGUUGUGCAUAGGCAGCCAUAAGGUGUAUUAGUUUACUAAUCGGGUCUUAGGGGUAGAACUUGUUGAGACGUAGUCUCAUCCCGGUUUGGGGAAAAUAUUUCAGGACUCUGAUGAAGAACCUGAGGAGAAAGAACUCGA
RNAcentral lists this long non-coding RNA (2380 nucleotides) under Eucalyptus grandis. RNAcentral's name for it is "long non-coding RNA (EGRA_LNC006101)". The record is from RNAcentral. Lineage: Eukaryota; Viridiplantae; Streptophyta; Magnoliopsida; Myrtales; Myrtaceae.